This 272-nucleotide small nuclear RNA is filed under the name Neotoma lepida (desert woodrat). Its description in RNAcentral is "7SK RNA". It matches the Rfam family "7SK RNA". From Rfam's summary of the family: 7SK was discovered as an abundant small nuclear RNA in the mid-70s but a possible function has only recently been suggested. Two independent studies have found that 7SK RNA binds the CDK9/cyclin T complex (known as elongation factor P-TEFb). P-TEFb activates transcription by phosphorylating the C-terminal domain of RNA polymerase II. The record is from Rfam by way of RNAcentral. Lineage: Eukaryota; Metazoa; Chordata; Mammalia; Rodentia; Cricetidae.
GUGUGUGCAGAUGAUCCAAUGCACCAUCCUUUACCCCAUGGAUCCCCAGGGUUGAUUCAGCUGACCUGAUUGGCUAGGCUGGUGUCCCCUUCCUUCCUCACUGCUCCCUGUGCAUCACCCCGCAAAGCUGCACUUUCCCAAAUAGAGGAGGAUCAGUCUUCGGUCAAGGGUAUCCAAGCAGCUGUGCUCUCCUGCUAGAACCGCCAAACAAGCUCUCAAUGAAGGAGAGUCAUUGGCCAACAUAAUGAAAAAUGUUCACCACCUCGAGCCAU